This 253-nucleotide ribosomal RNA is filed under the name uncultured bacterium. RNAcentral describes it as "partial 16S ribosomal RNA". It matches the Rfam family "Bacterial small subunit ribosomal RNA", at positions 524 to 776 of the family's 1533-position model. The record is from RNAcentral.
UACGAAGGGGGCUAGCGUUGCUCGGAAUUACUGGGCGUAAAGGGCGCGUAGGCGGACAGUUUAGUCGGGGGUGAAAGCCCGGGGCUCAACCUCGGAAUUGCCUUCGAUACUGGCUGUCUUGAGUACGGGAGAGGUGUGUGGAACUCCGAGUGUAGAGGUGAAAUUCGUAGAUAUUCGGAAGAACACCAGUGGCGAAGGCGACACACUGGCCCGUUACUGACGCUGAGGCGCGAAAGCGUGGGGAGCGAACAGG